Molecule: ribosomal RNA, 321 nt
Filed under: uncultured Pseudomonadota bacterium
Lineage: Bacteria; Pseudomonadati; Pseudomonadota
Description: bacterial SSU rRNA
Rfam family: Bacterial small subunit ribosomal RNA
Source: RNAcentral
AUUGAACGCUGGCGGCAGGCUUAACACAUGCAAGUCGAGCGGAGAUGAGGUGCUUGCACCUUAUCUUAGCGGCGGACGGGUGAGUAAUGCUUAGGAAUCUGCCUAUUAGUGGGGGACAACAUUCCGAAAGGGAUGCUAAUACCGCAUACGUCCUACGGGAGAAAGCAGGGGAUCUUCGGACCUUGCGCUAAUAGAUGAGCCUAAGUCGGAUUAGCUAGUUGGUGGGGUAAAGGCCUACCAAGGCGACGAUCUGUAGCGGGUCUGAGAGGAUGAUCCGACACACUGGGACUGAGACACGGCCCAGACUCCUACGGGAGGCAG